Molecule: long non-coding RNA, 1018 nt
Filed under: Cricetulus griseus (Chinese hamster)
Lineage: Eukaryota; Metazoa; Chordata; Mammalia; Rodentia; Cricetidae
Description: lncRNA (ENSCGRG00000024730.1)
Source: RNAcentral
CUUAUUGUGCCCACCUCGGCCCUGCCCCACCCCUACCCCCAGCGAGGGCUCCCUGGCCAAUGGUUGGGGCUCAGCUUCUGAGGACAAUGCCCCCAGUGCCAGGGCCAGCCUGGUCAGCUCCUCCGAUGGCUCCUUCCUUGCAGACGCUCACUUUGCCCGUGCCCUGGCAGUGGCUGUGGAUAGUUUUGGUUUUGGUCUGGAGCCCAGGGAAGCUGACUGUGUCUUCACCGAUGCUUCCUCCCCUCCCUCCCCUCGGGAUGAUCUCCUCCUCACCCGAAGUUUCUCUCUGCCUCUGUGGGAGUGGAAGCCAGACGAUUGAGAAGCCCUGGAGAAGAGUCCAAAAGGAGCCUGGGGUCUGGUCGUAAUUUUACUCUUCUACUUCCAGAUUCCUCCUGAAUUGUCCCUGAGAUGGCCAGAAGAGCACCCAGACCAUUCUCCUGCCUGUCCUCAGGCCUUCCCACAGGUGUGGGUCUUAGCCUUUGCUUCUCUGUAGCAGAGGCCCAUUAUCACUGGGUUUCUGGAGAGUUCUGUCACUGGGAUUGUUAAAACAGAAGAAAGUAAACCAAACUGUGAUCUAGGGAGCCUUGGAUUCCCACUGAGAGCAAGACAGCAUCUUCAUACACUAGACUCUCUCCCACAACCAGGGCCUUUGGCCUAAGUAAGCCUGGCUCCUGAUCUCCCACCCAUGUGGAUCAUGGGAAGAAGGGAAGCCAAUGGUGUCUUCAUGGAGGGCAGAAAUGGCUGUUGGAGAGGGCUACAGUGGAGGACACUUAGAGGAGCCCUCUCAUCUCUACUCGGACUCUUCCCUUAGAGGCCAGCUCAGCCCUUUCCCUUCAGCCACACCAUUCGAGGAAAAUAAAGGAGGAAGAUCACGGAUGCCAUGGGUCCUGUCUAGUUCACGGUCAACACUUCAAAGUUGGGUUAAUGGAGGAGGCUGAUGAAAAAAAAAGCAGAAGAACCAAAGCACUAUCCUCAUGCCAUUGCCACUGAGAGCUUUACGAAUUUGAUUCUAUAAAAC